RNAcentral lists this ribosomal RNA (457 nucleotides) under uncultured bacterium. RNAcentral describes it as "bacterial SSU rRNA". It matches the Rfam family "Bacterial small subunit ribosomal RNA", at positions 340 to 786 of the family's 1533-position model. The record is from RNAcentral.
UACGGGAGGCAGCAGUGGGGAAUAUUGCACAAUGGGCGAAAGCCUGAUGCAGCUAUGCCUCGUGUAUGAAGAAGGCCUUUAGGGUUGUAAAGUACUUUCAUCGGGGAGGAAAAAACAAAACUAAUAAUUUUAUUUCUUGACGUUACCCGAAAAAGAAGCACCGGCUAACUCCGUGCCAGCAGCCGCGGUAAUACGGAGGGUGCUAGCGUUAAUCAGAAUUACUGGGCGUAAAGAGCACGUAGGUGGUUUUUUUAAGUCAGAUGUGAAAUCCCUGGGCUUAACCUGGAACUGCAUUUUGAAACUGAAAUACUAGAGUAUCGUAGAGGGAGGUAGAAUUCUAGGUGUAGCGGUGAAAUGCGUAGAUAUCUGGAGGAAUACCUGUGGCGAAAGCGGCCUCCUAAACGAAUACUGACACUGAGGGUGCGAAAGCGUGGGGAGCAAACAGGGAUUAGAUACC